GAUGAACGCUGGCGGCGUGCCUAAUACAUGCAAGUCGAGCGAACGGACGAGAGGCUUGCUUUUCUGAUGUUAGCGGCGGACGGGUGAGUAACACGUGGAUAACCUACCUAUAAGACUGGGAUAACUUCGGGAAACCGGAGCUAAUACCGGAUAAUAUUUUGAACCGCAUGGUUCAAAAGUGAAAGACGGUCUUGCUGUCACUUAUAGAUGGAUCCGCGCUGCAUUGGCUAGUUGGUAAGGUAACGGCUUACCAAGGCAACGAUGCAUAGCCGACCUGAGAGGGUGAUCUGCCACACUGGAACUGAGGCGCGAGCCAGACUCCUACGGGAGGCAGCAGUAGGGAUUCUUCCGCGAUGGGCGAGAGCCUGACGGAGCAACGCCGCGUGAGUGAUGAGGGUCUUCGGAUCGUAAAACUCUGUUAUUAGGGGAGAACGUAUGUGUAAGUAACUGUGCACAUCUUGACGGUACCUAAUCAGAAAGCCACGGCUAACUACGUG
RNAcentral lists this ribosomal RNA (497 nucleotides) under uncultured bacterium. RNAcentral describes it as "partial 16S ribosomal RNA". It matches the Rfam family "Bacterial small subunit ribosomal RNA", at positions 28 to 507 of the family's 1533-position model. The record is from RNAcentral.